GCUGUAAUCAUAGGCGGCUAUAGGCCCGGGCAAGCCAGGGCUUUGCCCUGGUAGUUUUCAACCAAAACCACACCCAAAAGCCACAACUGUUUAUACUUGCUAUCAGCUCCA
This 111-nucleotide long non-coding RNA is filed under the name Amphimedon queenslandica. RNAcentral describes it as "uncharacterized LOC109592359". Lineage: Eukaryota; Metazoa; Porifera; Demospongiae; Haplosclerida; Niphatidae. The record is from RNAcentral.